GCCUGCAGAGACGAAACGCCCUUGAUCAAAUGGCGGAAGGGCGAUCUGAUCGGUUCCGGAGCCUUUGGCCGUGUUUACAUGGGCAUGAAUACUCAAUCCGGAGAGCUUAUUGCUGUUAAAGAGGCUCCUAACAAGGUGCUUCAAGAAGAAGUGAGGGUUUUGGAGAACCUGUCUCAUCCAAAAAUUGUUAGAUGUUUGGGAACCGAGAGGGAGGAUAAACCUUGACUAUGCUGUUGGAAUAUGUACCUGGUGGAUCCAUACAAACACUACUGGAGAUUUUUGGAUCAUUUCCUGUUCCU
Molecule: long non-coding RNA, 299 nt
Organism: Argentina anserina (silverweed cinquefoil)
Lineage: Eukaryota; Viridiplantae; Streptophyta; Magnoliopsida; Rosales; Rosaceae
Exons: 3
Source: RefSeq, a predicted model, not a curated record